AACGUAGGACGCAAGCGUUAUCCGGAGUUACUGGGCGUAAAGCGCGUGUAGGCGGCUUGGAAAGUCGGGUGUGAAAGCCCUGGGCUCAACCUAGGAAGUGCACUCGAAACUGCCGAGCUUGAGUUCUGGAGAGGAAGGCGGAAUUCUCGGUGUAGAGGUGAAAUUCGUAGAUAUCGAGAGGAACACCGGUGGCGAAGGCGGCCUUCUGGACAGCAACUGACGCUGAGACGCGAAAGCGUGGGGAGCAAACAGG
Molecule: ribosomal RNA, 253 nt
Filed under: uncultured bacterium
Lineage: Bacteria
Description: partial 16S ribosomal RNA
Rfam family: Bacterial small subunit ribosomal RNA
Source: RNAcentral